UCCUUGACAAAUUGCAUCAAGUGCUAGUACAGAAGUUCCUCGAGGAAUCAUUAUCUUUCAAAUCCAAAUAGACGCAUUUGAUCAAACUAAACAUAACCCUUAAACUCAAAAAAUUAGAACGGAAUAUAUUCACAUAACUUAUGUCACAUAGAAAACAUUCAAAAUUGGACGACAUGAUGAUGACUAUGAUAAUGUAAUAUGCAGUUCAUCAAAAUUAAACCUUUUCAUAUCAAAUAAAGUAGCUUAAUUCCUAUUAAACAUAUGCUCCUCUAUCGCAAUUUGAAUAUUUUCAUAGUUAUCAUCAAAAAAACGUUCAUAUUAUUGUUGUUGGUGUGGCUCAUUCUCGUAUAUUUCUUCUUCAUCGGCUUCAUCCAUGUCAUUCAUAAAUGCAGAGUCCCAGAAAUUGAAUCAAACAACGCUUAUAUUCAGAUGUGUUCCUGGGCUUUCCAAUCUAAGAUUUAUCCAUCUAAAUAUAUUAAGAACUAAUUGCAACAUAAUUAAGAGUUCAAAGUCAGAUUAUCAAAGAGCUAAAGGGUUGUCUUUUGGUGCAUCAAGAUAUGAUAGGUUAGACGGAGAGAAAUUGCAUUCUGUCCUAGCCUUUCCUAUUCGAUGAAAUCAAACAUCAAAUAGUACAACAACAACAACAACAACAUACCCAAUGUAUCCCAUAUAGUGGGGUCUGAGGAGGGUAGAGUGUACGCGAUCUAUACCACUACCUACGAAGAAGUAGAGAGGUUGUUUUCGAUAGACCCUUAGUUUAGGAAUAUGUUUAAUAAAUAAAUAAAUAAAUAAAUAAAUAAAGCAGAAUACAGACUAGAUUUGAUGCAAAUUUAGAAGAUUCAACUUUUUCCUUCAAGUUAUUUUUCUCCUAUUACUCACCAGUUAUUGACCAAUUGGUUUUUCUAGAUCACUAUCGAUCAAAUUGACUUUCCAAGACAACACACAGUGAGUGAUCUCCAACAACCCCCAUCCCCACCCCACCCCUCAUAAAUAAAGAAAUGAUAUGUCUUAAUAAACAAGCACUAAUAAAUGAUGAAUUUCUUGUUGUGCACCCUCCCAGCUAGUCGCAAGAGUCAGCAAAAGUAUGUUAUUGAUGCACCCUACAUAUCAUGCUUUAGUGUAACAGGGCUACUGUGACAGAUACAUGCCAUUAUACAUUUGAUUAUCGUAAUUCACCUAAACAGUAUCCUGUAAGAGUGAAGGCAAGCAUUCAAUAAGCAGAAAAGAGUUAUGAAAAGAUAUUCAUUUUGCCAUACCUCAAAGCAAAAAUGACCACUCUCAUCAGUAAGUUUCACCUGAGGUUUGACGUUUUGCGGAUCAUGAGUCAGAGCUACCUGCUUGCACAUAACCAUUUGCUAGAAGAUCACAAAAAUAUAAAAAAAACUGUAAAUCUUUUCUAUGUUCUGACCAUAAAACUAGACAUAUAACAACUUGAGAUAGGUGUAUGAUACUGCCUGGUAAGGAAGUAAAAAACUAGUACCAAGCCACUAAAACAUACCAAUCAAACUCAUUUGACAUAACAUUAUCACUGUAUAAUGACUAACAGUAUCUCCAAAAAGUGAACUCACUACUCAUAAAGAAAAAUGUCAUAUUAUACAGAAAUGUCCAACCAACAUAACAAACUAAUUUUAGAUUUGAACUAUGUCUCAUGUGCAAAACGUCAAUAUGAAAAAAAAAGACACCAAUAACCUAAGAAAGUUGCAAGUUCGAUAGAAGAACAUAAGAGAAAAAUGUGAAACAGUAAGUUUAGGAAAUUAAAAAUAAAAACAAAAAAAGCUACCUAAUGGAGAUUCAAUCAAGCACCACCAGCUAACUCAUCUUGAGUCCAACCAUUUGCAAUAAUAAUACUCACUGAAAUCCCACUAGCGAGGCUUAGGGAGUGUCGAGUGUACGUAGAUCAUUAUCACUACCUCACAAAAUCUUUACAACAAUGCUUCAAAUAAAUAAAUUUUUCUCCACAAACUCAAGAUUAACAGUAACCCAAACAAAUAAAGGUUCUAUUUUCCCCCCUUUUUUUGCACCUAAAUCAUUUUCACCACCAAACAGAAUAACCCCAUCAAUUAAAGAUUCCAUUUUUAUCCUUUUUUUGCAAUUAAAUCAAAACAAACAAGAGAGUAAUUUGUUGACAACACAAGAAAAAAGCACAAUAUGCAAAUUAUUUACAUAGCUGAUACCUCAAAUAUUUCAGCUAAAAUUAUCUGACUAGAUGUCGCCGCUGCUGACUACCGCAGUCGCCGGAGAACUGGAAUCGCCGGAGAGAGGUCUGGUCGGUGAGGGACGGAUUAUUGAAGAAAGGAAAGAAGGCUUUUGAGAAAAAUUGAUAUAUUCACGGGUUUAUUUCACUGCCCCAAAAUUAUUUGCGGUUUAUUUUUUUAAGUAUAGCGGGGGUUCAACCGCAUCAAAAUAUUCACGAUUUAUUUAAUGAUAGCGAGGGUUUUAACCUCCCCAAUUGUAAUUAAAAUAAUAGGGAUAUACAAACCCCCGCAAUUUGAUAUAUUUGUGGAGGUUAAUACCGAUCCCCCAAUUAAACCUCCACAAAAUACACCUUUUUUUGGUAAUGAAGAAUGGAAACCUUGACC
This 2579-nucleotide long non-coding RNA is filed under the name Capsicum annuum. RNAcentral's name for it is "long non-coding RNA (CANN_LNC017973)". Lineage: Eukaryota; Viridiplantae; Streptophyta; Magnoliopsida; Solanales; Solanaceae. The record is from RNAcentral.